RNAcentral lists this ribosomal RNA (575 nucleotides) under uncultured fungus. RNAcentral's name for it is "eukaryotic LSU rRNA". The stretch from base 187 to 340 matches the Rfam family "5.8S ribosomal RNA". The record is from RNAcentral. Lineage: Eukaryota; Fungi.
UCCGUAGGUGAACCUGCGGAGGGAUCAUUACAAGUGACCCCGGUCUAACCACCGGGAUGUUCAUAACCCUUUGUUGUCCGACUCUGUUGCCUCCGGGGCGACCCUGCCUUCGGGCGGGGGCUCCGGGUGGACACUUCAAACUCUUGCGUAACUUUGCAGUCUGAGUAAACUUAAUUAAUAAAUUAAAACUUUUAACAACGGAUCUCUUGGUUCUGGCGUCGAUGAAGAACGCAGCGAAAUGCGAUAAGUAAUGUGAAUUGCAGAAUUCAGUGAAUCAUCGAAUCUUUGAACGCACAUUGCGCCCCCUGGUAUUCCGGGGGGCAUGCCUGUUCGAGCGUCAUUUCACCACUCAAGCCUCGCUUGGUAUUGGGCAACGCGGUCCGCCGCGUGCCUCAAAUCGACCGGCUGGGUCUUCUGUCCCCUAAGCGUUGUGGAAACUAUUCGCUAAAGGGUGCUCGGGAGGCUACGCCGUAAAACAAACCCAUUUCUAAGGUUGACCUCGGAUCAGGUAGGGAUACCCGCUGAACUUAAGCAUAUCAAUAAGCGGAGGAAAAGAAACCAACAGGGAUUGCCUU